AUUGAACGCUGGCGGCAUGCUUUACACAUGCAAGUCGAACGGCAGCGCGGGCUUCGGCCUGGCGGCGAGUGGCGAACGGGUGAGUAAUACAUCGGAACGUGCCCAGUAGCGGGGGAUUGCUCGGCGAAAGCCGGAUUAAUACCGCAUACGACCUGAGGGUGAAAGCGGGGGAUCUUCGGACCUCGCGCUAUUGGAGCGGCCGAUGGCAGAUUAGCUAGUUGGUGGGGUAAAGGCCUACCAAGGCGACGAUCUGUAGCUGGUCUGAGAGGACGACCAGCCACACUGGAACUGAGACACGGCCCAGACGCCUGCGGGAGGCAGCAGUGGGGAAUUUUGGACAAUGGGCGAAAGCCUGAUCCAGCAAUGCCGCGUGUGUGAUGAAGGCCUUCGGGUUGUAAAGCACUUUUGGCGGGAACGAAAAGGACUGUGCCAAUACCACGGUUCGAUGACGGUACCCGCAGAAUAAGCACCGGCUAACUACGUG
RNAcentral lists this ribosomal RNA (484 nucleotides) under uncultured bacterium. RNAcentral describes it as "partial 16S ribosomal RNA". It matches the Rfam family "Bacterial small subunit ribosomal RNA", at positions 29 to 507 of the family's 1533-position model. The record is from RNAcentral.